AGCGAACGCUGGCGGCGUGCUUAACACAUGCAAGUCGAACGUGAAAUGUAGCAAUACAGAGUAAAGUGGCGUACGGGUGAGUAACACGUGGGUAAUCUACCAAAGUGUCUGGAAUAACCGAUCGAAAGGUUGGCUAAUACUGGAUAGUUCAAGCUUGUUAUAAUGGCAAGAUUGGGAAAGGGAGCUGGCAACAGCCUUCGCAUUUUGUAUGAGCUCGCGUCUGAUUAGUUAGUUGGUAAGGUAAUGGCUUACCUAAGACGAAGAAUCAGUAGCUGGUCUGAGAGGAUGAUCAGCCACACUGGAACUGAAACAACGGUCCAGACUCCUACCGGGAGGGCAGCAGU
This 344-nucleotide ribosomal RNA is filed under the name uncultured bacterium. Its description in RNAcentral is "bacterial SSU rRNA". It matches the Rfam family "Bacterial small subunit ribosomal RNA", at positions 29 to 355 of the family's 1533-position model. The record is from RNAcentral.